GGCGGACCCUUUAGGUGCGUGCGUUGCGUGCCAAUCACGUCAAGGCUUUAUAUGAGCAGGUGCGCGCUCCGUCUCGGGUUGGCAUUUUGUUGUUUGGACCGGUUGAUGGGAGUCUCUCCACUAGCCCUCCAGUGAGUAGAGCAUGUUAGAAACCGUGAGUAAGAUGGAAUGGAUUAUUAAGUUUACAUGAGUGUAUUUUUCUUUUAAGGAUAGUGGUGGCAGUCUGAAAUUAACCUGAUUAUGUGCGGCCAAUUUAUGGGCGUAAUGUAGAGUUUAUUCCAAAGAGUCUGCUAGCUGCUGCUUUGCUGUAAUUUAAGUGGCAUCUGGCCCUAUUCUGAACGGCAUUCCUACGCGUGCGUGUGUGGACAUCAGACGCAAGCGCUUCGGACUCCAUCCUCCUUGGCCAAUUCAUGUGCGCUGCCUCAUUCAUGCGCGCUCGCUGUAUGAUUUAUACAGGUCCUCAAACCAUCUACGAGUGUUGCCGUCGGAAACCAUGUUAGCCUAGUGUGUUUGUUAUUUGCUUUGAGUGAUGUGAGUUUGUACGAAGUGUUAUUC
Danio rerio (zebrafish) is the source of this 555-nucleotide non-coding RNA. The record is from RefSeq and is a predicted model, not a curated record. NCBI's taxonomy places the organism in Eukaryota, Metazoa, Chordata, Actinopteri, Cypriniformes, Danionidae.